Molecule: ribosomal RNA, 500 nt
Filed under: uncultured bacterium
Lineage: Bacteria
Description: partial 16S ribosomal RNA
Rfam family: Bacterial small subunit ribosomal RNA
Source: RNAcentral
AUUGAACGCUGGCGGCAUGCCUUACACAUGCAAGUCGAACGGCAGCACGGGGGCAACCCUGGUGGCGAGUGGCGAACGGGUGAGUAAUACAUCGGAACGUGUCCUUUCGUGGGGGAUAACCAGUCGAAAGACUGGCUAAUACCGCAUGAGAUCUCACGAUGAAAGCGAGGGACCGCAAGGCCUCGCGCGAUUGGAGCGGCCGAUGUCGGAUUAGCUAGUUGGCGGGGUAAAAGCCCACCAAGGCGACGAUCCGUAGCUGGUUUGAGAGAACGACCAGCCACACUGGGACGGAGACACGGCCCAGACUCCUACGGGAGGCAGCAGUGGGGAAUGUUGGACAAUGGGGGCAACCCUGAUCCAGCCAUGCCGCGUGUGUGAAGAAGGCCUUCGGGUUGUAAAGCACUUUCGGACGGAACGAAAUCGCCCGUGUUAACAGCGCGGGUGGAUGACGGUACCGUAAGAAGAAGCACCGGCUAACUACGUGCCAGCCGCCGCGGUAA